Molecule: unclassified non-coding RNA, 208 nt
Filed under: uncultured Pseudomonadota bacterium
Lineage: Bacteria; Pseudomonadati; Pseudomonadota
Description: uncultured proteobacterium contains 16S-23S intergenic spacer region
Source: RNAcentral
UCCGGCUUAUCACCGGCAGUCCCACUAGAGUGCCCAACUGAAUGAUGGCAACUAAUGGCGAGGGUUGCGCUCGUUGCGGGACUUAACCCAACAUCUCACGACACGAGCUGACGACAGCCAUGCAGCACCUGAACCAGCGGUCCCCGAAGGGAAAAUCCUAUUUCUAGGACGGUCCACUGUUGUCUAGCCCAGGUAAGGUGGGGAUGAC